GAUGAACGCUGGCGGCGUGCCUAAUACAUGCAAGUCGAGCGAACAGAUGAGGAGCUUGCUCCUCUGACGUUAGAGGCGGACGGGUGAGUAACACGUGGAUAACCUACCUAUAAGACUGGGAUAACUUCGGGAAACCGGAGCUAAUACCGGAUAAUAUAUUGAACCGCAUGGUUCAAUAGUGAAAGACGGUUUUGCUGUCACUUAUAGAUGGAUCCGCGCCGCAUUAGCUAGUUGGUAAGGUAACGGCUUACCAAGGCAACGAUGCGUAGCCGACCUGAGAGGGUGAUCGGCCACACUGGAACUGAGACACGGUCCAGACUCCUACGGGAGGCAGCAGUAGGGAAUCUUCCGCAAUGGGCGAAAUCCUGACGGAGCAACGCCGCGUGAGUGAUGAAGGUCUUCGGAUCGUAAAACUCUGUUAUUAGGGAAGAACAAAUGUGUAAGUAACUAUGCACGUCUUGACGGUACCUAAUCAGAAAGCCACGGCUAACUACGUG
This 497-nucleotide ribosomal RNA is filed under the name uncultured bacterium. Its description in RNAcentral is "partial 16S ribosomal RNA". It matches the Rfam family "Bacterial small subunit ribosomal RNA", at positions 28 to 507 of the family's 1533-position model. The record is from RNAcentral.